Molecule: ribosomal RNA, 510 nt
Filed under: uncultured Glomeraceae
Lineage: Eukaryota; Fungi; Glomeromycota; Glomeromycetes; Glomerales; Glomeraceae
Description: SSU rRNA
Rfam family: Eukaryotic small subunit ribosomal RNA
Source: RNAcentral
AGCAGCCGCGGUAAUUCCAGCUCCAAUAGCGUAUAUUAAAGUUGCUGCGGUUAAAAAGCUCGUAGUUGAAUUUCGGGAUCAUCAUGUCGGUCGUGCCUCGGUACGUACUGGCAUUGUUGGUUUCUCCCUUCUGAAGAACCAUGAUGUCAUUAAUCUGGUGUCUUGGGGAAUCAGGACUGUUACUUUGAAAAAAUUAGAGUGUUUAAAGCAGGCUCGCGCUUGAAUACAUUAGCAUGGAAUAAUGAAAUAGGACGUUUGAUUCUAUUUUGUUGGUUUCUAGGAUCGACGUAAUGAUUAAUAGGGAUAGUUGGGGGCAUUAGUAUUCAAUUGUCAGAGGUGAAAUUCUUGGAUUUAUUGAAGACUAACUACUGCGAAAGCAUUUGCCAAGGAUGUUUUCAUUAAUCAAGAACGAAAGUUAGGGGAUCGAAGACGAUCAGAUACCGUCGUAGUCUUAACCAUAAACUAUGCCGACUAGGGAUCGGGUGAUGUUAAUUUUAUAAUGACUCAUUC